UAUUAUUUGCUUUAUCCACAUGAUUGCUUCCCCCGAAACUUUCCUGGAAAAACUUGUUCUAUCUAUAUUGCCUCCCACUAUGUUUCAUCAUUGACAUAAGCUGGUACCCUGGAGGGUGUGGAACUGAGGCAGGAGUCAACCAGAGAUCUGCAUCUGUGGACACGGUUGCUGGUGGCUGCUUAUUUCGGAAGGAAAACCGAGAAGAGAAAAGCUAGCUUCCGAGGAGUCUGGGGGCGUAUAAAAUGUUUGAUGAAUGCGCCGGGACCCUCCCCGUGCGAGGAGCUUUGGCUGUGGCGCACCGGCCUCCCACCAAAGAGCACCGGGACGUGUCUGCUGCGAUUCAACCCAUGUAUCAAUGUGAUGAAAAGGGCCCCUUCGGUCAAGAAGUGGUUUUCCGUCACGCUCAAGCAUUUACCAACCUGGUUGCGGUGUGACCUCUGCAGGACGCAGCUUAAGGGGAUGAGGAGAAAUAGGUCUGGAAAUCGAAGAACACAUCCAAGGAGAUAAGUAAAUGUGAGAAAGAGCCUCAUUCCCUCUGAAUCAACAGCAUCACUUCCCAGCAACUCCUGUUCAAGUCCUUCAGGAUGAACACAGGAGAUUAGGCAACAGCUGCAUUUAUAGCUGUAUAAUAUAGCAUAUAUAUCUCUCUCCUUCCUUUCUGAGUUGUUGGUUGUGGUCACUUAGUCAGUUCAUUUUAGAGUUAGUUCUUUCAGGCCUCUCAAUUAUUUAUGUCUUGGCAGUGAAAAAAAUGCCAUCCAAAGUAACCCCAUAAAUUUGCUAAUGUCACCUCAGCUUUUGAACGCUGACCACAAAAUCCUGGACUAUUGACCUUCCAGCAAUACGAUUUAAAGCCAAACUCUUAACUUAUUGACAGCUUAUUGAGACUUACACAGACCAUUUUAAACGUUUAGCCUGGCUGACUGACCAUUGCGGGGGGAAAYAGAGCUCCCUCGGAGUUGUUCGAAGCUUUGAAUGAGGGCUGCCAGCGGCACCAGCUCACACCACAGAGCUCUGCGCWUUCGUGAGCCUCUCCUCGGGCACCGUUUUUAUCAUCUCCGUCGUGGCACCAAGAGCUGGCCUUCGCCAGUACAAUAAGACUUUGUGUUGUCUGCCCUUCCCCUCGCCUCAGAUGGAGGAGAGGCUGUUCCUGCCGGUUCAGGUGACGAAGCCUUCCUGACAACACAAAAUACUAUCACCGCAACACAAAAGUUGUGAGGGAAAUAAAUCUCUGUCCUGAAGGAUUGAAUCGUGUGUG
This 1255-nucleotide long non-coding RNA is filed under the name Dromaius novaehollandiae (emu). RNAcentral describes it as "lncRNA (ENSDNVG00000013199.1)". Lineage: Eukaryota; Metazoa; Chordata; Aves; Casuariiformes; Dromaiidae. The record is from RNAcentral.